GCCCACGUAGCUCAGUUGGUAGAGCAAGGCUUUCGUAAAGCUUAGGUCGGAGGUUCGACUCCUCUCGUGGGCUCCA
RNAcentral lists this transfer RNA (76 nucleotides) under Candidatus Omnitrophota bacterium. RNAcentral's name for it is "tRNA-Thr". It matches the Rfam family "tRNA". From Rfam's summary of the family: Transfer RNA (tRNA) molecules are approximately 80 nucleotides in length. Lineage: Bacteria; Pseudomonadati; Candidatus Omnitrophota. The record is from RNAcentral.